GAUGAACGCUGGCGGCGUGCCUAAUACAUGCAAGUCGAGCGAACAGACGAGGAGCUUGCUCCUCUGACGUUAGCGGCGGACGGGUGAGUCACACGUGGAUAACCUACCUAUCAGACUGGGAUCACUUCGGGAAACCGGCGCUAAUCCCGGAUAAUCUAUUGCACCGCAUGGUUCAAUAGUGAAAGUCGGUUUUGCUGUCACUUCUCGCUGGAUCCGCGCCGCAUUAGCUAGUUGUUAAGGUAACGGCUUACCAAGGCAACGAUGCGUAGCCGACGUGAGAGAGGGAUCGGCCACACGGGAGCUGAAACGCGGUCCAGACUCCUGCGAGAGGCAGCAGUAGGGAAUCUGCCGCAAUAGGCGAAAGCCUGACGGAGCGACGCCACGUGAGUGAUGAAGGUCUUCGGAGCGUAAAACUCUGUUAUGAGGGAAAAACAAAUGUGUAAGUAGCUAUGCACGUCUUGACGGUACCUAAUCAGAAAGCCACGGCUAACUACGUG
RNAcentral lists this ribosomal RNA (497 nucleotides) under uncultured bacterium. RNAcentral's name for it is "partial 16S ribosomal RNA". It matches the Rfam family "Bacterial small subunit ribosomal RNA", at positions 28 to 507 of the family's 1533-position model. The record is from RNAcentral.